ACGGUUAUAAAUCAACAUAUUGAUUUAUAAGCAUGGAAAUCCCCUGAGUGAAACAACGAAUUGCUGUGUAUAGUCUUUGCCCAUCUCCCACGAUGGGCUUUUUUUUAA
RNAcentral lists this non-coding RNA (108 nucleotides) under Escherichia coli. RNAcentral describes it as "antisense sRNA RprA". It matches the Rfam family "RprA RNA". From Rfam's summary of the family: Translational regulation of the stationary phase sigma factor RpoS is mediated by the formation of a double-stranded RNA stem-loop structure in the upstream region of the rpoS messenger RNA, occluding the translation initiation site. Clones carrying rprA (RpoS regulator RNA A) increased the translation of RpoS. RNAcentral also lists the same sequence under 1 other name. The record is from RNAcentral. Lineage: Bacteria; Pseudomonadati; Pseudomonadota; Gammaproteobacteria; Enterobacterales; Enterobacteriaceae.